This 254-nucleotide ribosomal RNA is filed under the name uncultured bacterium. RNAcentral describes it as "partial 16S ribosomal RNA". It matches the Rfam family "Bacterial small subunit ribosomal RNA", at positions 524 to 776 of the family's 1533-position model. The record is from RNAcentral.
UACGGGGGGGGCAAGCGUUGUUCGGAAUUAUUGGGAGUAAAGGGUUCGUAGGCGGCUAAAUAAGUGAGACGUGAAAUCCCUCGGCUUAACCGGGGAACUGCGUCUGAUACUGGAUGGCUUGAGUUUGGGAGAGGGAUGCGGAAUUCCAGGUGUAGCGGUGAAAUGCGUAGAUAUCUGGAGGAACACCGGUGGCGAAGGCGGCAUCCUGGACCAACACUGACGCUGAGUGAGCGAAAGCCAGGGGAGCAAACGGG